UACAGAGGGGGCAAGCGUUGUUCGGAAUUACUGGGCGUAAAGGGCGCGUAGGCGGCCGCCUAAGUCAGACGUGAAAUCCCUCGGCUCAACCGGGGAACUGCGUCUGAUACUGGGUGGCUUGAAUCCGGGAGAGGGAUGCGGAAUUCCAGGUGUAGCGGUGAAAUGCGUAGAUAUCGGGAGGAACACCAGUGGCGAAGGCGGCUAUCUGGGCUGAAACUGACGCUGAGGCACGAAAGCGUGGGGAGCAAACAGG
This 253-nucleotide ribosomal RNA is filed under the name uncultured bacterium. RNAcentral describes it as "partial 16S ribosomal RNA". It matches the Rfam family "Bacterial small subunit ribosomal RNA", at positions 524 to 776 of the family's 1533-position model. The record is from RNAcentral.